Molecule: ribosomal RNA, 494 nt
Filed under: uncultured Verrucomicrobiota bacterium
Lineage: Bacteria; Pseudomonadati; Verrucomicrobiota
Description: bacterial SSU rRNA
Rfam family: Bacterial small subunit ribosomal RNA
Source: RNAcentral
UGAAUGGCUUCGGCCGUAAACCCCUGUCAUUUGCGAUCAAACCUCAAUAUUUAAAAGAUGUUGGGCUGAUAGUAGCGAAAGAGGAAGGGACGGCUAACUCUGUGCCAGCAGCCGCGGUAAUACAGAGGUCCCGAGCGUUGUUCGGAUUCACUGGGCGUAAAGGGUGCGUAGGUGGUGAGGUGUGUCGGAUGUGAAAUCUCGGAGCUCAACUCCGAAAUGGCAUUGGAAACUACCUUGCUGGAGGGUUGGAGGGGGGACUGGAAUGCUUGGUGUAGCAGUGAAAUGCGUAGAUAUCAAGCGGAACACCAGUGGCGAAGGCGAGUCCCUGGACAAUUCCUGACACUGAGGCACGAAAGCUAGGGGAGCAAACAGGAUUAGAUACCCUGGUAGUCCUAGCCGUAAACGGUGCGCGUUUGCUGUAAAAGGAAUCGACCCCUUUUGUGGCGUAGCCAACGCGAUAAACGCGCCGCCUGGGAAGUACGGUCGCAAGAUUA